RNAcentral lists this ribosomal RNA (500 nucleotides) under uncultured bacterium. RNAcentral describes it as "bacterial SSU rRNA". It matches the Rfam family "Bacterial small subunit ribosomal RNA", at positions 30 to 518 of the family's 1533-position model. The record is from RNAcentral.
UUGAACGCUGGCGGCAGGCCUAACACAUGCAAGUCGAACGGUAACAGGAAGCAGCUUGCUGCUUCGCUGACGAGUGGCGGACGGGUGAGUAAUGUCUGGGAAACUGCCUGAUGGAGGGGGAUAACUACUGGAAACGGUAGCUAAUACCGCAUAACGUCGCAAGACCAAAGAGGGGGACCUUCGGGCCUCUUGCCAUCAGAUGUGCCCAGAUGGGAUUAGCUAGUUGGUGGGGUAACGGCUCACCAAGGCGACGAUCCCUAGCUGGUCUGAGAGGAUGACCAGCCACACUGGAACUGAGACACGGUCCAGACUCCUACGGGAGGCAGCAGUGGGGAAUAUUGCACAAUGGGCGCAAGCCUGAUGCAGCCAUGCCGCGUGUAUGAAGAAGGCCUUCGGGUUGUAAAGUACUUUCAGCGGGGAGGAAGGUGUUGUGGUUAAUAACCGCAGCAAUUGACGUUACCCGCAGAAGAAGCACCGGCUAACUCCGUGCCAGCCGCCGC